UCACUCUGUUCACCUGUGCCUUACUUUCCCUAGCUAUGUCUCUUUCCCUGAUUAUCUCAUGUGUGUUUAAGCCCUCAGUUUAGUUUAAUUUCUGUUUCUACUGUUGUUGUGGAUUUGCUGCUGCCAUUUAAAAAAAGCCGAUCGCAGCAGAAAAAGUGAGCAACAACAAAACUAAAACACAAAUGAAAACAAGCAACAACAGCAAAUAAGAAGCAGCAUUCUGCCACAAAGCUUCUCGCCUGUGGGAAUCAGUCUUUCCUAGUUGCUGCUAUCUUGUGGCUGUACUCUGUAUGACUAUGAUUCCACUGGUCUCUGUAGCAUGAUGUUGAUCAUGGAUCUAAUAAAGGUGGAAGCCCCUCCCCCC
Long non-coding RNA from Oreochromis aureus, 364 nucleotides. The record is from Ensembl. Lineage: Eukaryota; Metazoa; Chordata; Actinopteri; Cichliformes; Cichlidae.